RNAcentral lists this long non-coding RNA (238 nucleotides) under Lathyrus oleraceus (garden pea). RNAcentral's name for it is "Pisum sativum (pea) long non-coding RNA (PSAT_LNC002857)". Lineage: Eukaryota; Viridiplantae; Streptophyta; Magnoliopsida; Fabales; Fabaceae. The record is from RNAcentral.
UAAAUUUAAAUAAGUUUAAUAUUAUAAUAAAUAUUAGAAUGUAUAUAAUAAAUUUAAAUAAGUUAAAUAUUAUAAAUAAUCAUUCUUACAUCUUUUUCUUCCAUGUGUUCUAUUGCAACACGGUACCCUUGUAAAUGAUGUCGAGGAUUAGUUCGAUAAUUCAUACCUCGUUUGCACCAUCUUGCAUAUUAAAAAAAAAUACAAAAAUACGUUAAAGUGAUGUAUAAAUAAUUUGAAU